Non-coding RNA from Mycena vulgaris, 91 nucleotides. The record is from the annotation of a GenBank genome assembly. Lineage: Eukaryota; Fungi; Basidiomycota; Agaricomycetes; Agaricales; Mycenaceae.
UCGGACGUGGUGUCUGGUGCACGCCCGUUUAUAUUAGCCUGAAAACUUACAAAUAAAGCGGGAAGCCUGGGUUCUCCUCCCAGCGUCCGAA